UCCAGAGAGCCUUUCCUUGAGUCAACUAUAUAACUUGGACCGGCGUUGCCUGGAUUUAUGAGGCCUUCCGUAGGAGCGAACGUCUUCAUGUUGAAUUACCCUGGCCCGGAGGUGGAUGCAGGAAUCUGCCUGGAGAUAAUCAAGAUCGACACCGUGCCUUAUAACACACCUUAGUACCCUGUAAUCUGAGCACACUGGGGCUGAUUUAACCCCCUCACCGCUGUCGCGAGAGCCCCAGGUCCUUACCCCGUGGGGACGGACACGGAGCGUGGGGCAGGUUGCCCUGGGCUCCUGGGUCGCCCGGAUCUGCCUUCCCCUCGAUGAAAAGGCCUCCUAUUCUGCUCCUGAGGACUGAACCGUCUGCCCUGCGCACUGGUUGGCUUGUUCAAAUCAGUGUCCAAAUUCUUUCCUGCGCUUUACAGGGGACACUGGGAUGACAGCAGAUGAGAGGACCCUGAGAAGUUAGUGACUUGUCCAAGAUCAGCUAGGAAGCAGGACCCAGGACUGCAAUCCAGGGCUGCUGUGAGGAUCAAACAAGAUAAUGUAUGCUAAAGCAUGCCAUGACCACUACGUGCUGGGUGCAGGAGAAUGGAGGCCCCAGGGUGGGUCUAAUGACACUCUUGUUGAUGAAGAUCUUGGCUGUGAACUCUGUGGAAAAUGAGCCAUGGACCAACCAACGUGAGUGAUGAUUCAAUCUGAUUUCUUCAUUCUCCCAUGAGGAAGCUCUUGGCUGUCCCUUCUGUGGAUAAGGAGCAAAGUGACUCAUGUAAGUGACAGAGUUUGUGUUCUUGGUGUGGAGGUAAUUCAUGUGGGUUUUUUGUGGGAUUGUUUCAAAGGAAGAAUGGCCACUGUAAACAUAAGUGAAAUCAGACACACCAGGCUCGGACCACAGCUGGGAAUGUGUAAUGAACCACAUAUUAAGACAAGGACCUUUUAGUUUAACUGAGAUCCAUUAGAAAGAAAG
This is a non-coding RNA of Leptonychotes weddellii (Weddell seal), 964 nucleotides long. The record is from RefSeq and is a predicted model, not a curated record. Lineage: Eukaryota; Metazoa; Chordata; Mammalia; Carnivora; Phocidae.